GAUGAACGCUAGCGGCAGGCCUAACACAUGCAAGUCGAGGGAGAAGCCCUUCGGGGCAGAAACCGGCGCACGGGUGCGUAACGCGUAUGCAACCUACCUUUCACAGGGGGAUAGCCCGAAGAAAUUUGGAUUAAUACCCCAUAAUAUUAUUGGAUGGCAUCAUUUGAUAAUUAAAAUUACGAUGGUGAAAGAUGGCAUGCGUCCUAUUAGCUAGUUGGAGUGGUAACGGCACCCCAAGGCUACGAUAGGUAGGGGUCCUGAGAGGGAGAUCCCCCACACUGGUACUGAGACAGGGACCAGACUCCUACGGGAGGCAGCAGUGAGGAAUAUUGGUCAAUGGUCGGAAGACUGAACCAGCCAUGCCGCGUGCAGGAAGAAUGCCUUAUGGGUUGUAAACUGCUUUUAUAUGGGAAGAAUAAGGAGUACGUGUACUUUG
RNAcentral lists this ribosomal RNA (436 nucleotides) under Capnocytophaga granulosa. RNAcentral's name for it is "bacterial SSU rRNA". It matches the Rfam family "Bacterial small subunit ribosomal RNA", at positions 28 to 471 of the family's 1533-position model. Lineage: Bacteria; Pseudomonadati; Bacteroidota; Flavobacteriia; Flavobacteriales; Flavobacteriaceae. The record is from RNAcentral.